AUUACUUCCUCAUUUUCUCUUCUAAAAAUCUCCAAAACAAUUAAUGCCUCUUUCCUCAUUAUUGACAUUUGUUUCAUUUCUUGGAAUCCGUCUCUUCCUUCUCCUUCUUUCGAUUUCUUUGCACAGAAGAAAAAAUUCGGAAGUCAUAAUUAAAUUUUGACCUUGCUUAUCAUUUAAUUUCUCCUAUUAAAUAUGUAAUUAAUUUUACCUUCCAAAAGAAAAGGUGUAACGGCUAAAAUAAUGGUGGAAUUACCGUACACAUUACACAUAAUUUUUAAAUUCCAGUUAAUGAAACGUUUGCUCUUCAUAUCUGUAGCAAUUCUUUAGUAAACAGCAGUUCUCUUUCUCUUCACAUUUGUGUACAUCUUAUCUUUCAUCCAUUUUCUUCUUCAUAAUUAUUUUGUGUAUUUUGUUAAUCUAUCAUGUAUUUUGUGAAUCUAUCUUUCAUCCUCUUGUGCGCUUCAUUUUCUGAAAUUAUCAUAACAGGAUUCACUAACACUACUGAUUUUAUUCUUUGUACGUAGGUUUUAAAUGCAUGGGUCCAAAGCUCAAAUAUUGCCAGCUUGGAAGGUAACUUGGUGAAAAAUGGUGGAUUUGAAGUUGGCCCUCAUGUAUUCAAGAACUUCUCGAGAGAGGUGCUCGUCCUGCCUUUGAAACAAGACAAGUACUCACCAAUCCCUGGAUGGAUGGUUCAGUUCAUGAAACCAGCGAAAUACAUCGACUCGAAGCAUUUCUUAGUGCCUUGGGGAAAUGCAGCAGUUGAGUUAAUAGGAGGAAGGGAAACAGGCAUUGCACAGAUCGUAAGGACAGUCCCCACGCAAUUCUACAACCUGACUUUCACCAUUGGCGAUGCAAACAAUGACUGCCACGGAUCAAUGACAGUUCAAGCAUUCGCUGGCAAGGCGAGUACAGAAGUUUCCUUUGUAUCACAAGGAAAUGGGUGGUUCAAGACUGCAAGCCUCGAGUUCCAAGCAGAUAAAACUAGGACAACAGUAGCUUUCUAUAAUCCAUUCAAUCACACAAAGAUAUAUGGCUUUGGUCACGUGUGCGGACCUGUCAUCGAUGAUGUCAGUCUCGUUCAUGUCCGAAAAUAAGCAGAAGGAAUUGACCGUACUCAGAGAAGGUCAAUUUGAAGACAAGUUUUAAUAGGAACUCUUUUUUCUUUCUUUUUUUCAAGCAGGUGAACACGUGUGAACAAGGGUAGUGAUAUCUAUCAUUGUUUUUAUGUCUUUUUUAAGUUUUUCAGUCUGAACAAGAAUGAUAUACCCAAUAAAAGUAGUAAAAUCCCUUUCUUGUUUC
Molecule: RNA transcript, 1299 nt
Organism: Lycium barbarum (goji berry)
Lineage: Eukaryota; Viridiplantae; Streptophyta; Magnoliopsida; Solanales; Solanaceae
Gene name: protein DUF642 L-GALACTONO-1,4-LACTONE-RESPONSIVE GENE 2-like
Exons: 2
Source: RefSeq, a predicted model, not a curated record